UACGUAGGGUGCAAGCGUUGUCCGGAUUUAUUGGGCGUAAAGAGCUCGUAGGCGGCCAACUAAGUCAGACGUGAAAUCCCUCGGCUUAACCGGGGAACUGCGUCUGAUACUGGUUGGCUUGAAUCCGGGAGAGGGAUGUGGAAUUCCAGGUGUAGCGGUGAAAUGCGUAGAUAUCUGGAGGAAAACCGGUGGCGAAGGCGGCAUCCUGGACCGGUAUUGACGCUGAGGAGCGAAAGCCAGGGGAGCAAACGGG
RNAcentral lists this ribosomal RNA (253 nucleotides) under uncultured bacterium. RNAcentral's name for it is "partial 16S ribosomal RNA". It matches the Rfam family "Bacterial small subunit ribosomal RNA", at positions 524 to 776 of the family's 1533-position model. The record is from RNAcentral.